AUGUCUUCGCCUGCUCCGUCUUCGCCUCCCUCAACUCCGUGCUCCUCGGCUACGAGGGACCUCCACAUCACCGAGGUGCAGCAGGAGGUGCUCGUCGGCUGCCUCAGCUUCGUCUCCCUCCUCGGCAGCCUCGCCGGGGGCCGGACCGCCGACGCCCUCGGCCGCAAGCGCACCAUCGGCCUCGCCGCCGCCGUAUUCCAGGCCGGGGCCCUCGUCAUGACGCUCGCGCCGUCCUUCCGCGUGCUCAUGGCCGGCAGGCUGCUGGCCGGCAUCGGCAUCGGCUUCGGCGUCAUGAUCGCGCCCGUCUACAUCGCCGAGAUCUCCCCCGCCGCGUCCCGGGGCUCCUUCACCUCCUUCCCGGAGAUCUUCAUCAACCUCGGCAUCCUCCUCGGCUACAUCUCCAACUACGCCUUCUCGGGCCUGCCCGACCACCUCGGCUGGCGCGUCAUGCUCGCCGUCGGCAUAGUCCCGUCCGUGUCCAUCGUCUUCGCGCUCCUCGUCAUCCCGGAGUCGCCCAGGUGGCUGGUGGUGCAGGGCAGGGCCGCCGAGGCGCGUGAGGUGCUUCUCAGGGUCACCGACGGCGAGGAGGAGGCCGACGAGAGGCUCGCGGAGAUCGAGGCGGCCGCGGCCAGCGCGGCAAACUCCGGCGAGACGGUGUGGCGGGAGCUGUCGAGGCCCUCGCCGACGAUCCGCCGGAUGCUGGUCACCGGCCUGGGCAUCCAGUGCUUCCAGCAGAUCACCGGCAUCGACGCGCUGGUGUACUACAGCCCCACCAUCUUCCGGGACGCCGGGGUGACCACCGAGAGCCAGCUCCUCCUCGCCACGGUCGCCGUCGGGUUCUUCAAGACGGCGUUCAUCGCGCUGGCCAUCGUGCUCAUCGACCGCGUCGGCCGGAAGCCGCUGCUGUACGUGAGCACGGUCGGCAUGACCGUCUGCCUGGUCAUUCUGGCAUCGACGCUCUGGCUGCUCGCGCACGGGGCGGUGCCCAAGGCCCUCGGCGUGGCCGUCGCCGUCGUGGCGGUGUGCGGCGACGUGGCCUUCUUCUCGGUGGGGAUCGGGCCGGUGUGCUGGGUGACGAGCUCGGAGAUCUUCCCUCUGCGGCUGCGGUCGCAGGCGGCGGCGCUCGGCGCGGCGGUGAACCGGGUUACGAGCGGCACCGUGGCCAUGUCGUUCCUNUCCGUCUCCCGCGCCAUGACCGUCGCCGGCGCGUUCUCGGCGUUCGCGGCCAUCUCGGCGUUGUCGGUCGUGUUCGUGCACAGGUUCGUCCCGGAGACGAAAGGCAAGACGCUGGAAGAGAUCGAGCUGCUCUUCGGCGGCGGGGAAGGUGGCGAGGGAGUGACAGUGAGCCCCGGGGAGGUGGAGCUCGGUGACGCCGAGCACCUGGUGCGGAAGGGAUGA
This 1398-nucleotide ribosomal RNA is filed under the name Triticum aestivum (bread wheat). RNAcentral describes it as "partial small subunit ribosomal RNA". The record is from RNAcentral. Lineage: Eukaryota; Viridiplantae; Streptophyta; Magnoliopsida; Poales; Poaceae.